UACGUAGGGGGCGAGCGUUGUCCGGAUUUACUGGGCGUAAAGGGUGAGUAGGCGGUUAUUUAAGUCAGAUGUAAAAGGCUAUGGCUCAACUAUAGUAAGCAUUUGAAACUGGAUAACUUGAGUGCAGGAGAGGUAAGUGGAAUUCCUAGUGUAGCGGUGAAAUGCGUAGAUAUUAGGAGGAACACCAGUGGCGAAGGCGACUUACUGGACUGUAACUGACGCUGAGUCACGAAAGCGUGGGUAGCAAAC
This 249-nucleotide ribosomal RNA is filed under the name uncultured Clostridia bacterium. RNAcentral's name for it is "partial 16S ribosomal RNA". It matches the Rfam family "Bacterial small subunit ribosomal RNA", at positions 524 to 773 of the family's 1533-position model. The record is from RNAcentral. Lineage: Bacteria; Bacillati; Bacillota; Clostridia.